UACGGAGGGAGCUAGCGUUGUUCGGAAUUACUGGGCGUAAAGCGCGCGUAGGCGGCUUUGUAAGUUAGAGGUGAAAGCCCGGGGCUCAACCCCGGAAUUGCCUUUAAGACUGCAUCGCUAGAAUCCAGGAGAGGUGAGUGGAGUUCCGAGUGUAGAGGUGAAAUUCGUAGAUAUUCGGAAGAACACCAGUGGCGAAGGCGGCUCACUGGACUGGUAUUGACGCUGAGGUGCGAAAGCGUGGGGAGCAAACAGG
This 253-nucleotide ribosomal RNA is filed under the name uncultured bacterium. Its description in RNAcentral is "partial 16S ribosomal RNA". It matches the Rfam family "Bacterial small subunit ribosomal RNA", at positions 524 to 776 of the family's 1533-position model. The record is from RNAcentral.